AUUGAACGCUGGCGGCAGGCUUAACACAUGCAAGUCGAGCGAGCGGCGGACGGGUGAGUAAUGUAUGGGAAACUGCCUGAUGGAGGGGGAUAACUACUGGAAACGGUAGCUGAUACCGCAUACCAUCAGAUGGGCCCAGAUGGGAUUAGCUAGAAGGUGGGGUAAUGGCUCACCGAGGUGACGAUCCCUAGCUGGUCUGAGAGGCUGACCAGCCACAAUGGAACUGAGACACGGUCCAUACUCCUACGGGAGGCAGCAGUGGGGAAUAUUGCAGAAUGGGCGCAAGCCUGAUGCAGCCAUGCCGCGUGUGUGAAGAAGGCCUUCGGGUUGUAAAGCACUUUCAGCGAGGAGGCGUUACUCGCAGAAGAAGCACCGGCUAACUCCGUGCCAGCAGCCGCGGUAAUUC
RNAcentral lists this ribosomal RNA (406 nucleotides) under uncultured bacterium. RNAcentral describes it as "partial 16S ribosomal RNA". It matches the Rfam family "Bacterial small subunit ribosomal RNA", at positions 30 to 526 of the family's 1533-position model. The record is from RNAcentral.